This 520-nucleotide ribosomal RNA is filed under the name uncultured Glomus. RNAcentral describes it as "SSU rRNA". It matches the Rfam family "Eukaryotic small subunit ribosomal RNA", at positions 569 to 1090 of the family's 1831-position model. Lineage: Eukaryota; Fungi; Glomeromycota; Glomeromycetes; Glomerales; Glomeraceae. The record is from RNAcentral.
AGCAGCCGCGGUAAUUCCAGCUCCAAUAGCGUAUAUUAAAGUUGUUGCAGUUAAAAAGCUCGUAGUUGAAUUUCGGGACCAAUAUGUCGGUCGUGCUUCGGUACGUACUUGCAUUAUUGGUUUCUCCCUUCUGACGAACCACGAUGUCAUUAAUUUGGUGUCUUGGGGAAUCAGGACUGUUACUUUGAAAAAAUUAGAGUGUUUAAAGCAGGCUCGCGCUUGAAUACAUUAGCAUGGAAUAAUGAAAUAGGACGUUUGAUUCUAUUUUGUUGGUUUCUAGGAUCGACGUAAUGAUUAAUAGGGAUAGUUGGGGGCAUUAGUAUUCAAUUGUCAGAGGUGAAAUUCUUGGAUUUUAUUGAAGACUAACUACUGCGAAAGCAUUUGCCAAGGAUGUUUUCAUUAAUCAAGAACGAAAGUUAGGGGAUCGAAGACGAUCAGAUACCGUCGUAGUCUUAACCAUAAACUAUGCCGACUAGGGAUCGGAUGAUGUUAAUUUUUUAAUGACUCAUUCGGCGCCUUA